AGGUAUAUUAUCUAGAAUCCAAAGACCGUAGGGGCUAAAUUGCUUAAUAAACCUACGUAGGGCGCACAAUAUAUUUAUGACAAAUUGCGUUUCUUUGGAAACGCUUUUUUUAUGAUUUU
Molecule: non-coding RNA, 119 nt
Organism: Candidatus Curtissbacteria bacterium RBG_13_35_7
Lineage: Bacteria; Candidatus Curtissiibacteriota
Source: Rfam